GACGAACGCUGGCGGCGUGCUUAACACAUGCAAGUCGAACGGAAAGGCCCUGCUUUUGUGGGGUGCUCGAGUGGCGAACGGGUGAGUAACACGUGAGUAACCUGCCCUUGACUUUGGGAUAACUUCAGGAAACUGGGGCUAAUACCGGAUAGGAGCCCCUGCUGCAUGGUGGGGGUUGGAAAGUUUCGGCGGUUGGGGAUGGACUCGCGGCUUAUCAGCUUGUUGGUGGGGUAGUGGCUUACCAAGGCUUUGACGGGUAGCCGGCCUGAGAGGGUGACCGGCCACAUUGGGACUGAGAUACAGCCCAGACUCCUACGGGAGGCAGCAGUGGGGAAUAUUGCACAAUGGGCGGAAGCCUGAUGCAGCAACGCCGCGUGCGGGAUGACGGCCUUCGGGUUGUAAACCGCUUUCGCCUGUGACGAAGCGUGAGUGACGGUAAUGGGUAAAGAAGCACCGGCUAACUACGUG
This 468-nucleotide ribosomal RNA is filed under the name uncultured bacterium. RNAcentral describes it as "partial 16S ribosomal RNA". It matches the Rfam family "Bacterial small subunit ribosomal RNA", at positions 28 to 507 of the family's 1533-position model. The record is from RNAcentral.